AUCCUUUUGUAGUUCAUAAAUGUGAUGAUUGGGUGUUCACGCUCUUGUGUGACAUGUGCCUCCCACAAACUUUGUUAAGACAUAGGCAUAUUACCUGUCUGACA
Small nucleolar RNA from Phyllostomus discolor (pale spear-nosed bat), 104 nucleotides. RefSeq annotates it as small nucleolar RNA U13. The record is from RefSeq and is a predicted model, not a curated record. The transcript has a single exon. NCBI's taxonomy places the organism in Eukaryota, Metazoa, Chordata, Mammalia, Chiroptera, Phyllostomidae.